RNAcentral lists this ribosomal RNA (207 nucleotides) under uncultured bacterium. RNAcentral's name for it is "partial 16S ribosomal RNA". It matches the Rfam family "Bacterial small subunit ribosomal RNA", at positions 568 to 774 of the family's 1533-position model. The record is from RNAcentral.
CGCGUAGGUGGUUGUGUAAGUCAGAUGUGAAAUCUCGAGGCUCAACUUCGGAACUGCAUCUGAAACUGCAUGACUCGAGUACAGCAGAGGGAAACGGAAUUCCUGGUGUAGAGGUGAAAUUCGUAGAUAUCAGGAGGAACACCGGUGGCGAAGGCGGUUUCCUGGGCUGAUACUGACACUGAGGCGCGAAAGCGUGGGGAGCAAACA